Molecule: unclassified non-coding RNA, 276 nt
Filed under: uncultured Mycocaliciales
Lineage: Eukaryota; Fungi; Ascomycota; Eurotiomycetes; Mycocaliciales
Description: sequence contains 5.8S rRNA gene, ITS2, 28S rRNA gene
Rfam family: 5.8S ribosomal RNA (bases 1-52)
Source: RNAcentral
AACGCACAUUGCGCCCUCUGGUAUUCCGGGGGGCAUGCCUGUUCGAGCGUCAUUAACACCCCUCAAGCCUCGCUUGACGUUGGGCGUCGUCAAAACCCCGGGUCUCCCGGGGCUGACGUGCCUGAAAAAUGGUGACGGCCGCGUCCGGUCCCCGAGCGUAGUACGAUCUCGCUUCAUGAAAUCAUCGCUUCCGGGUCGGGCGUCAGCGCCGGGCAAAAACCCCCUUUUAUUUCUAAGGUUGACCUCGGAUCAGGUAGGGAUACCCGCUGAACUUAA